UUCCCUGUGGCUCAGUUGGUAGAGCAUGGUGUGUGCAACGCCAGGGUUGUGGGUUCGAUUCCCAUGGGGGGCA
This 73-nucleotide transfer RNA is filed under the name Salmo salar (Atlantic salmon). It matches the Rfam family "tRNA". Rfam says of the family: Transfer RNA (tRNA) molecules are approximately 80 nucleotides in length. Lineage: Eukaryota; Metazoa; Chordata; Actinopteri; Salmoniformes; Salmonidae. The record is from Rfam by way of RNAcentral.